This 333-nucleotide unclassified non-coding RNA is filed under the name uncultured fungus. RNAcentral's name for it is "partial contains small subunit ribosomal RNA, internal transcribed spacer 1, and 5.8S ribosomal RNA". The stretch from base 1 to 73 matches the Rfam family "Eukaryotic small subunit ribosomal RNA", at positions 1759 to 1831 of the family's 1831-position model. Lineage: Eukaryota; Fungi. The record is from RNAcentral.
UCAAACUUGGUCAUUUAGAGGAAGUAAAAGUCGUAACAAGGUUUCCGUAGGUGAACCUGCGGAAGGAUCAUUGAAAAAUCUACUUGAGCCGCAAGGCUCUUAUUACCUUGUGAAAUGUUUGUGGGGGUACGCCCUUGUGAUGGGUGGUCACCAUAUGGUUGGGAUCGGUUCGCUGAUCGCAAGGUGACCGUUAAUUACAUACGGGUGGCCCCCCUGGUUUAUAUUACCAUUUAAACAUAUGUCUUUGAUGUUUGGGGAAUGUAUAUCUGUUGUAAUACAUAUACAACUUUCAACAGUGGAUCUCUCGGCUCUUGCAUCAAUGAAGAACGCAGC